AGGGUUUGAUCCUGGCUCAGGAUGAACGCUGGCGGCGUGCCUAAUACAUGCAAGUCGAACGAAGAUGUUCUUGAGUUUACUCGAGAGCUCUUAGUGGCGAACGGGUGAGUAACGCGUUGGUGACCUGCCCUAAAGAAGGGAACAACCUCGGGAAACUGAGGCUAAUACCCUAUGUGCUUCUUAAGAUUUGACGCUUUUGAAGUAAAGGUUCUGUGGACGAAAGGCCACAGUGCCGCUUUAGGAGGGGCCUGCGUCCCAUCAGCUAGUUGGUAGGGUAAUGGCCUACCAAGGCGAUGACGGGUAGGGGACCUGAGAGGGUGACCCCCCACACUAGCACUGAAACACGGGCUAGACACCUACGGGUGGCAGCAGUAGGGAAUAUUGCACAAUCGACGAAAGUCUGAUGCAGCAACGCCGCGUGUGCGAUGAAGGCCUUCGGGUUGUAAAGCACUUUUCUGAGGGAAGAGAAAGGACGGUACCUCAGGAAAAAGUCUCGGCUAACUACGUGCCAGCAGCCGCGGUAAUACGUAGGAGGCGAGCGUUAUCCGGAUUUAUUGGGCGUAAAGCGCGUGCAGGUGGUUUGGUAAGUUGGGUAUGAAAUCUCCUGGCUUAACUAGGAGAGGUUGCUCAAAACUACCAGACUAGAGGACGGUAGAGGAAGGUGGAAUUCCCGGUGUAGUAGUGAAAUGCGUAGAUAUCGGGAGGAACACCAGUGGCGAAGGCGGCCUUCUGGGCCGUUCCUGACACUAAGACGCGAAAGCAUGGGUAGCAAACGGGUUUAGAAACCCCGGUAGUCCAUGCCGUAAACGAUGUGAACUUGAUGUCGGUGGCGUAAUAGUCAUCGGUGUCGUAGUUAACGCGAUAAGUUCACCGCCUGGGGAGUACGAUCGCA
This 892-nucleotide ribosomal RNA is filed under the name uncultured bacterium. Its description in RNAcentral is "bacterial SSU rRNA". It matches the Rfam family "Bacterial small subunit ribosomal RNA", at positions 8 to 890 of the family's 1533-position model. The record is from RNAcentral.